UGGAUACUGGUCCUUAAGGAUGGAUUUUCCAUCACCAUAUUGGAUAGUGAUUUGAGAAGUAAAGAUGAUUUGGGAUUACUGACGUAUAAGAUUACCACCGUACAACAAAUAUAAUAUGGUGAUCUCAUUACUUUUACCAAUAUCACCCUUGAUCUUAAGGUCAUCAUCCUAUAAUAAAAGUCCUCGAGCUAUUAUAAUAAGUUGCAUCAUAAUCAAUCAACUAAGAGAACUUCAGCUAUCAACAAAAGAACAACAUCACCUUCCCAAGCAUGCCAAUCAAACCUACUCAUUCAACAUAGCUAC
RNAcentral lists this long non-coding RNA (303 nucleotides) under Elaeis guineensis (African oil palm). RNAcentral describes it as "long non-coding RNA (EGUI_LNC065845)". The record is from RNAcentral. Lineage: Eukaryota; Viridiplantae; Streptophyta; Magnoliopsida; Arecales; Arecaceae.